UAAAAGUUAACUGUGUAUGAAGUUGGAACAUUUGCCUACGUUUGCCGCUAGGGGCGCUGCGCUGUCCCAACUGCAUACCUACUUUGAGUUA
Molecule: microRNA precursor, 91 nt
Filed under: Bombyx mori (domestic silkworm)
Lineage: Eukaryota; Metazoa; Arthropoda; Insecta; Lepidoptera; Bombycidae
Description: mir-2807 microRNA precursor family
Rfam family: mir-2807 microRNA precursor family
Source: Rfam by way of RNAcentral